Molecule: long non-coding RNA, 569 nt
Organism: Talpa occidentalis (Iberian mole)
Lineage: Eukaryota; Metazoa; Chordata; Mammalia; Eulipotyphla; Talpidae
Exons: 4
Source: RefSeq, a predicted model, not a curated record
AUCAGAAAGUCUGCCUUUUGCUUCCGCAGUUCAUUCUUGAGCAUCGCUGCCACCUCAUGACCUUUGAAGAUCUGGCGGGGAGGAUCGUUUUGAACAAAAAAUACCAUCUUGGUGCUGCAGAGACAUGCAACAGUAUGAAUGAGCAGAAGCUGUCAACAACAGGGGUAGCUGUCAUCUGCUGAGUACCUUCUGUUUGUGCUAGACACUGUGCUACGUUUUAUGUGCUUUCUCUCACAUCAAGUCAGUGAGAAAGGCCAUCUGGGGGCUCUCUAGUCAUCUCCCCCCAUCCACAACACAAGGGAAAAUGUCUAGCUCAACAAUCUUACCAAAAAUAGGAAUGAAUCUGCUCCACAGAUUUGAAAACAGUAAACACAAAGGAAAUCCAGGCAACCAAGAAACAAGGAUUUCAUUAGAGCAACAUCACAGCUGUACAAUCUUUUUACAACUCUAGAAGUCAGAUGGAUUGUACCUAUAAAAGCACCAGGACCAUAAAGCACUACCUGGGGACUGGCUGAUGGCACCAGCCUUGGAUAAGCCAAUAAAAGCAAAUAGACUCUUAAAAGUAAGUA